UAGAACUAUGCAGAGUAUUCCAAAGGGUCCCC
RNAcentral lists this non-coding RNA (32 nucleotides) under Rattus norvegicus (Norway rat). Lineage: Eukaryota; Metazoa; Chordata; Mammalia; Rodentia; Muridae. The record is from RNAcentral.